Molecule: ribosomal RNA, 301 nt
Filed under: uncultured bacterium
Lineage: Bacteria
Description: partial 16S ribosomal RNA
Rfam family: Bacterial small subunit ribosomal RNA
Source: RNAcentral
CAGUCGCCACGGUAAUACGGAGGGAGCUAGCGUUGUUCGGAAUUACUGGGCGUAAAGCGCACGUAGGCGGUUAUUCAAGUCAGAGGUGAAAGCCCGGGGCUCAACCCCGGAACUGCCUUUGAAACUAGAUGACUGGAAUCUUGGAGAGGUCAGUGGAAUUCCGAGUGUAGAGGUGAAAUUCGUAGAUAUUCGGAAGAACACCAGUGGCGAAGGCGACUGACUGGACAAGUAUUGACGCUGAGGUGCGAAAGCGUGGGGAGCAAACAGGAUUAGAUACCCGAGUAGUCCCUGUCUCUUAUAA